Seriola dumerili (greater amberjack) is the source of this 1311-nucleotide long non-coding RNA. RefSeq lists it as uncharacterized. NCBI's taxonomy places the organism in Eukaryota, Metazoa, Chordata, Actinopteri, Carangiformes, Carangidae. The record is from RefSeq and is a predicted model, not a curated record. The transcript has 5 exons.
UUAUGUUCUUUGUACAUCACUCCCUGCCUUUAACCUGUAGAUGAACAAGCCCACAAUAACAAUGAAGGUCAACAAGCUCAGACGGAUGAUAAAACUCUUUAGGUGAAUGGAAAGACUGCAGCAUAAAUUUAAAGCACACAAUGCAAAUAAGGACUAGCUUAAAUGUUAAUGCACGGAAAAUGUGACUGUGACUGACCUGUGAGUCCAGUGAGGAUGAGAAGAAAGCUGAGAUGAACAGUCAUGUUGGACUAGCUUAAAUGUUAAUGCACGGAAAAUGUGACUGUGACUGACCUGUGAGUCCAGUGAGGAUGAGAAGAAAGCUGAGAUGAACCGUCAUGUUGCAGGCUUAACCGCAGAGCUGUACAUCACUUCCCCAUCACUAUUAGCAUCUGACCCCUGGGGAAGAAAGAAGAGACGGAUGUGAAACAGACGUUAAUUCAACAGUUUAACCUGUUUUUCUUUUUUGAAAUUUACAUGGUAAAGAUACAAAAUUAUAGUUAAAUAUGUGCUUCAGUUUACUUAUAUUGUGUGAUAUACAAGUUAUGAUUUCAGAGGUUAAGGGCUAUCUUGUGUGAAAGUUUUCUUGUGUGCUUAACAGUACUGUAUGUUACUUCCUCUUCAGCCUGAAGAAGGAGCAAAGCAGAUGUAAUUUGCAGUAAGGCUAUACACCAUUAUUACUGGAAUAUACCAGAUUACAUCAACAUGACCAUUUUUUGAAAAAUAGAAAGCAUGAACUAUUUAAUUUCCCUUUUAAGGGGAACAUGUGAUCAGAGGAAUUACCAUUAGGAUAUUUACAAUAAUGCUGAAUUGAAGUUCUGGUAAUGGUUACUGUUUUCUCUUCAACAAAAAUCCACAAUCUCAAAAUUGCACAAGAUGUAAUACAAAUAUUUAAUGUCCAUCCAAAGUGGUACAUUACAAUUCUGCGGCCUAUACUCAGUAAUUCCUUUUGCUGUUUUGGAAGAACACAGCCUUCCCUUGUGAGAUUUAGAUGCAAUGGAUCAUAAAGGUUUGUCUUUGUAUCAGGGAUAUGUUUUAUUCUAUUUAUUAUCAUAAUCAACUUCUUUUUGAACCAAUAAUAUCAGUAUUGAAAAACAACAGAGUAACAUUAGUAUUUUUCUGACGCAUUUUUGUACAAGCCUUCAGUUGCAUAAUUCACAAAAGCAGAACCACAGUAAAGUGAAAUGUUUCAUUAGAUUCCAAUUCCAAUCAAUGUUUCUCAACAUGAGAAAUUACACUUCUGAUGUGUGCAUUUGUGGCUAUUUUUUAAACCACUAGAUGCGUGCUUGAUAAAAGAAAAAAAAGUGAAACAAA